CCUACGGGAGGCAGCAGUCGAGAAUCAUUCACAAUGGGGGAAACCCUGAUGGUGCGAUGCCGCGUGGGGGAAUGAAGGUCUUCGGAUUUUAAACUCCUUUCAUGUGGGAGCAAAUUAAAAAGAUAGUACCACAAGAGGAUGAGACGGCUAACUCUGGCCCAGCAGCCGCGGUAAUACAGAGGUCUCAAGCGUUGUUCGGAAUCACUGGGCGUAAUGCGUGCGUAGGCUGUUUCGUAAGUCGUGUGUGAAAGGCGCGGGCUCAACCCGCGGACGGCACAUGAUACUGCGAGACUAGAGUAAUGGAGGGGGAGGCGGAAUUCGCGGUGUAGCAGUGAAAUGCGUAGAUAUCGAGAGGAACACUCGUGGCGAAGGCGGGUUCCUGGACAUUAACUGACGCUGAGGCACGAAGGCGAGGGGAGCGAAAGGGAUUAGAUACCCGAGUAGUC
RNAcentral lists this ribosomal RNA (446 nucleotides) under uncultured bacterium. Its description in RNAcentral is "partial 16S ribosomal RNA". It matches the Rfam family "Bacterial small subunit ribosomal RNA", at positions 338 to 795 of the family's 1533-position model. The record is from RNAcentral.